GGGGGAACCCUGACCGAGCAACGCCGCGUGAGUGAAGAAGGUUUUCGGAUCGUAAAGCUCUGUUGUAAGAGAAGAACGAGUGUGAGAGUGGAAAGUUCACGCUGUGACGGUAUCUUACCAGAAAGGGACGGCUAACUACGUGCCAGCAGCCGCGGUAAUACGUAGGUCCCGAGCGUUAUCCGGAUUUAUUGGGCGUAAAGCGAGCGCAGGCGGUUAGAUAAGUCUGAAGUUAAAGGCUGUGGCUUAACCAUAGUACGCUUUGGAAACUGUUUAACUUGAGUGCAAGAGGGGAGAGUGGAAUUCCAUGUGUAGCGGUGAAAUGCGUAGAUAUAUGGAGGAACACC
This 344-nucleotide ribosomal RNA is filed under the name uncultured bacterium. RNAcentral's name for it is "bacterial SSU rRNA". It matches the Rfam family "Bacterial small subunit ribosomal RNA", at positions 374 to 710 of the family's 1533-position model. The record is from RNAcentral.